AUUGAACGCUGGCGGCAUGCUUUACACAUGCAAGUCGGACGGCAGCACAGAGAAGCUUGCUUCUUGGGUGGCGAGUGGCGAACGGGUGAGUAAUAUAUCGGAACGUACCGAGUAAUGGGGGAUAACUAAUCGAAAGAUUAGCUAAUACCGCAUAUUCUCUGAGGAGGAAAGCAGGGGACCUUCGGGCCUUGCGUUAUUCGAGCGGCCGAUAUCUGAUUAGCUAGUUGGUGGGGUAAAGGCCUACCAAGGCGACGAUCAGUAGCGGGUCUGAGAGGAUGAUCAGCCACACUGGGACUGAGACACGGCCCAGACUCCUACGGGAGGCAGCAGUGGGGAAUUUUGGACAAUGGGCGCAAGCCUGAUCCAGCCAUGCCGCGUGUCUGAAGAAGGCCUUCGGGUUGUAAAGGACUUUUGUCAGGGAAGAAAAGGCUGUUGCUAAUACCGACAGCUGAUGACGGUACCUGAAGAAUAAGCACCGGCUAACUACGUG
This 490-nucleotide ribosomal RNA is filed under the name uncultured bacterium. Its description in RNAcentral is "partial 16S ribosomal RNA". It matches the Rfam family "Bacterial small subunit ribosomal RNA", at positions 30 to 507 of the family's 1533-position model. The record is from RNAcentral.